GAUGAACGCUGGCGGCGUGCCUAAUACAUGCAAGUCGAACGGAAAGGCCCUGCUUUUGUGGGGUGCUCGAGUGGCGAACGGGUGAGUAACACGUGAGUAACCUGCCCUUGACUUUGGGAUAACUUCAGGAAACUGGGGCUAAUACCGGAUAGGAGCUCCUGCUGCAUGGUGGGGGUUGGAAAGUUUCGGCGGUUGGGGAUGGACUCGCCGCUUAUCAGCUUGUUGGUGGGGUAGUGGCUUACCAAGGCUUUGACGGGUAGCCGGCCUGAGAGGGUGACCGGCCACAUUGGGACUGAGAUACGGCCCAGACUCCUACGGGAGGCAGCAGUGGGGAAUAUUGCACAAUGGGCGGAAGCCUGAUGCAGCAACGCCGCGUGCGGGAUGACGGCCUUCGGGUUGUAAACCGCUUUCGCCUGUGACGAAGCGUGAGUGACGGUAAUGGGUAAAGAAGCACCGGCUAACUACGUG
RNAcentral lists this ribosomal RNA (468 nucleotides) under uncultured bacterium. RNAcentral describes it as "partial 16S ribosomal RNA". It matches the Rfam family "Bacterial small subunit ribosomal RNA", at positions 28 to 507 of the family's 1533-position model. The record is from RNAcentral.